Molecule: long non-coding RNA, 382 nt
Organism: Spea bombifrons (plains spadefoot toad)
Lineage: Eukaryota; Metazoa; Chordata; Amphibia; Anura; Pelobatidae
Exons: 3
Source: RefSeq, a predicted model, not a curated record
AAACUGUCUUCCUGGAUACAGAAAAGUCAUGGGGUCUAGCAUCCAUUCCUGCUGCUAUGACUGUGUGAGAUGCUCAGAGGGAGAAAUCUCCAACAUAACUGACUUCUUCUCCGGCCUGUGAUCUGAGAAUUAGAAAAUGCAUUGAGGAUUACGAAUAUUUUCAAGAUGGAGAUGUUAUAAUCGGAGGGGUGCUUUCUGUCAAUCACGCUUUGAAUGAGUAUGUAGAAGAAUAUGGAAUUAAGCAUCUGAUGAUGUGUAUGCGAUAUUAUCGGGGCCGGGAAAGACCGUCCCUAAUUACUCCUGUACUGAACAAGGAAAAGUGGCUGGAUUUAUCGGGGAUCAUCAUUCCAGUCCAACAUUGGCCAUAGCCCAGAUACUGAAG